RNAcentral lists this ribosomal RNA (1346 nucleotides) under uncultured bacterium. RNAcentral describes it as "partial 16S ribosomal RNA". It matches the Rfam family "Bacterial small subunit ribosomal RNA", at positions 28 to 1381 of the family's 1533-position model. The record is from RNAcentral.
GACGAACGCUGGCGGCGUGCUUAACACAUGCAAGUCGAACGGAAAGGCCCUGCUUUUGUGGGGUGCUCGAGUGGCGAACGGGUGAGUAACACGUGAGUAACCUGCCCUUGACUUUGGGAUAACUUCAGGAAACUGGGGCUAAUACCGGAUAGGAGCUCCUGCUGCAUGGUGGGGGUUGGAAAGUUUCGGCGGUUGGGGAUGGACUCGCGGCUUAUCAGCUUGUUGGUGGGGUAGUGGCUUACCAAGGCUUUGACGGGUAGCCGGCCUGAGAGGGUGACCGGCCACAUUGGGACUGAGAUACGGCCCAGACUCCUACGGGAGGCAGCAGUGGGGAAUAUUGCACAAUGGGCGGAAGCCUGAUGCAGCAACGCCGCGUGCGGGAUGACGGCCAUCGGGUUGUAAACCGCUUUCGCCUGUGACGAAGCGUGAGUGACGGUAAUGGGUAAAGAAGCACCGGCUAACUACGUGCCAGCAGCCGCGGUGAUACGUAGGGUGCGAGCGUUGUCCGGAUUUAUUGGGCGUAAAGGGCUCGUAGGUGGUUGAUCGCGUCGGAAGUGUAAUCUUGGGGCUUAACCCUGAGCGUGCUUUCGAUACGGGUUGACUUGAGGAAGGUAGGGGAGAAUGGAAUUCCUGGUGGAGCGGUGGAAUGCGCAGAUAUCAGGAGGAACACCAGUGGCGAAGGCGGUUCUCUGGGCCUUUCCUGACGCUGAGGAGCGAAAGCGUGGGGAGCGAACAGGCUUAGAUACCCUGGUAGUCCACGCUGUAAACGGUGGGUACUAGGUGUGGGGUCCAUUCCACGGGUUCCGUGCCGUAGCUAACGCUUUAAGUACCCCGCCUGGGGAGUACGGCCGCAAGGCUAAAACUCAAAGGAAUUGACGGGGCCCCGCACAAGCGGCGGAGCAUGCGGAUUAAUUCGAUGCAACGCGUAGAACCUUACCUGGGUUUGACAUGGAUCGGGAGUGCUCAGAGAUGGGUGUGCCUCUUUUGGGGUCGGUUCACAGGUGGUGCAUGGCUGUCGUCAGCUCGUGUCGUGAGAUGUUGGGUUAAGUCCCGCAACGAGCGCAACCCUUGUUCACUGUUGCCAGCACGUUAUGGUGGGGACUCAGUGGAGACCGCCGGGGUCAACUCGGAGGAAGGUGGGGAUGACGUCAAGUCAUCAUGCCCCUUGUGUCCAGGGCUUCACGCAUGCUACAAUGGCUGGUACAGAGAGUGGCGAGCCUGUGAGGGUGAGCGAAUCUCGGAAAGCCGGUCUCAGUUCGGAUUGGGGUCUGCAACUCGACCUCAUGAAGUCGGAGUCGCUAGUAAUCGCAGAUCAGCAACGCUGCGGUGAAUACGUUCCCGGGGCU